This 563-nucleotide ribosomal RNA is filed under the name uncultured bacterium. RNAcentral's name for it is "partial 16S ribosomal RNA". It matches the Rfam family "Bacterial small subunit ribosomal RNA", at positions 355 to 908 of the family's 1533-position model. The record is from RNAcentral.
UGGGGAAUUUUGGACAAUGGGCGAAAGCCUGAUCCAGCAAUGCCGCGUGUGUGAAGAAGGCCUUCGGGUUGUAAAGCACUUUUGUCCGGAAAGAAAUGGCUCUGGUUAAUACCUGGGGUCGAUGACGGUACCGGAAGAAUAAGGACCGGCUAACUACGUGCCAGCAGCCGCGGUAAUACGUAGGGUCCAAGCGUUAAUCGGAAUUACUGGGCGUAAAGCGUGCGCAGGCGGUUGUGCAAGACCGAUGUGAAAUCCCCGAGCUUAACUUGGGAAUUGCAUUGGUGACUGCACGGCUAGAGUGUGUCAGAGGGGGGUUAGAAUUCCACGUGUAGCAGUGAAAUGCGUAGAGAUGUGGAGGAAUACCGAUGGCGAAGGCAGCCCCCUGGGAUAACACUGACGCUCAUGCACGAAAGCGUGGGGAGCAAACAGGAUUAGAUACCCUGGUAGUCCACGCCCUAAACGAUGUCAACUAGUUGUUGGGGAUUCAUUUCCUUAGUAACGUAGCUAACGCGUGAAGUUGAUCCGCCUGGGGAGUACGGUCGCAAGAUUAAAAGCUCAAAUGA